Mus musculus (house mouse) is the source of this 1679-nucleotide RNA transcript. It is a transcript of the gene named deoxyhypusine synthase, with no coding region annotated. NCBI's taxonomy places the organism in Eukaryota, Metazoa, Chordata, Mammalia, Rodentia, Muridae. The record is from RefSeq and is marked validated. The transcript is spliced from 9 exons.
ACUCUUUUUUUUUUUUUUUUUUGCCUGAUGCCCUAAGUCGUGUUCAAGGACACCGUCCAAGAAACAAUCACUUCGCUCAUGGGGGACAAGAAUAUUUGGACAGAGAGACAGCUUGCAAACUAGGCACUUCCCUAUGCUUGAAGCUCAGUAACAGCUCCUGGACCACAUGUACGGAACACAGGGAUAAAAUGGCGGCUACCAGGACGGCGGGCGCUGCCCAAGGUCACGAGACCAAGUGACUUCCGGUUUCGUCGCCCCACGCCCCCAAGGCUCUCGAGUCGCACUUCCUGGGCUCCGGCCGACCUCGCUGAGGGAUUUUGCGGGUCUCAGGGCGCCGAGGCUGCUGAGACCUGAGAGCGGCCGCGAGCACAUGGAAGGGACCCCGCCAGGGGCGGCGCCCUCCUCGGCGCUGGCCGCCGUGCUCAAGCACAGCUCAGCGUUGCCGCCCGAGAGCGCCCAGGUCCAAGGCUACGACUUCAACCGCGGCGUAGAUUACCAUGCGCUUCUGGACGCCUACCGCACCACCGGCUUCCAGGCUACCAACUUCGGGCGCGCGGUGCAGCAAGUCAACGCCAUGAUUGAGAAAAAACUGGAGCCACUGGCUGUAGAUGAAGAUCAUCACGCAGACCUGACUCAGAGCCGCCGCCCACUUACAGGCUGCACCAUUUUCUUGGGCUAUACUUCCAACCUCAUCAGUUCAGGCAUCCGGGAGACCAUUCGAUACCUCGUGCAGCACAACAUGGUGGAUGUAUUGGUGACCACUGCUGGAGGUGUGGAAGAAGAUCUCAUCAAAUGCCUGGCGCCCACAUACCUUGGCGAGUUCAGCCUCAGGGGGAAGGAGCUCCGGGAGAGUGGGAUCAACAGGAUUGGAAACCUGCUGGUGCCGAAUGACAAUUACUGCAAGUUUGAGGACUGGCUCAUGCCCAUUCUGGACCAGAUGGUGCUGGAGCAGAACACAGAGGGUGUGAAGUGGACACCUUCCAAGAUGAUCUCCCGGCUUGGGAAGGAGAUCAACAACCCAGACUCUGUGUAUUAUUGGGCCCAUAAGAACCACAUCCCUGUGCUGAGUCCAGCACUCACAGAUGGCUCACUGGGUGACAUGAUCUUCUUCCAUUCCUAUAAAAACCCAGGCUUGGUCCUGGACAUUGUUGAAGACCUGCGACUCAUCAACACGCAGGCCAUUUUCGCCAAGCGCUCUGGGAUGAUCAUCCUGGGUGGAGGUGUGGUCAAGCACCACAUUGCCAACGCUAACCUCAUGCUCUCUAGGCCUUCCUCUGCAUCAUACCCAGCCUUCUACGGCUUCUGACGAGGGCUUCCUCUACCCACAGAGGAAUGGAGCAGACUACGCUGUUUAUAUCAACACAGCCCAGGAGUUUGAUGGCUCAGACUCCGGAGCCCGGCCAGAUGAGGCUGUCUCUUGGGGCAAGAUCCGGAUGGACGCACAGCCAGUAAAGGUCUAUGCUGAUGCUUCUCUGGUUUUCCCCUUGCUGGUGGCUGAGACAUUCGCCCAAAAGGCAGAUGCCUUCAGAGCUGAGAAGAAUGAAGACUAAGAAGAUUGGUAAAGACUGAGGCUUUUUGCCACACCUUUAUUUAUUACUUUACAUGCCAGCCCCUCCCUAGGCCCACUCCUUGGUCAGCAGCAUCUCUAGAAUAAAUGGCCCUUUGGUUGGGUUUUCUGA